GAUGAACGCUAGCGGGAGGCCUAACACAUGCAAGCCGAGCGGUAGAGUUUCUUCGGAAACUUGAGAGCGGCGCACGGGUGCGUAACACGUGUGCAACCUACCUUUAUCUGGGGGAUAGCCUUUCGAAAGGAAGAUUAAUACCCCAUAAUUUAUUGAUGGGACUCAAUUAUUAUUGAAAACUCGGUUGGAUAGAUUGGGGCAGGCGCACGAUUGGUUAGUUGGUGAGUUAACGGCUCACCAAGUAAAUGAUCUUUGGGGGUCCUGAGAGGGAGAUCCCCCACACUGGUACUGAGACACGGACCAGACUCCUACGGGAGGCAGCAGUGAGGAAUAUUGGACAAUGGGUGAGAGCCUGAUCCAGCCAUCCCGCGUGAAGGAUGACGGUCCUAUGGAUUGUAAACUUCUUUUGUACAGGGAUAAACCUACCCUCGUGAGGGUAGCUGAAGGUACUGUACGAAUAAGCACCGGCUAACUCCGUG
Molecule: ribosomal RNA, 479 nt
Filed under: uncultured bacterium
Lineage: Bacteria
Description: partial 16S ribosomal RNA
Rfam family: Bacterial small subunit ribosomal RNA
Source: RNAcentral